AUUGAUUUCGCAGUAAUGUCAUACUAAGAUGCGUCUGUCGAUUUGUAUUCUAUUGCGAUGACCACCAGAACACUACACAUAUUUUUUAUUUGUCCUGUUUUUUUGUUUCUGGCAACACACGUCAUGUCUCAAGAAACGUCAACCCUAACGCCGACAUCAACAAGCACGCAACUUGCGCAGGAGGUGUCACCUGUAGAUUACCACGACCAGACAGAAUCUCAUGAAGAAACCACACCGAUAACCUACUUGCCUCCAACUGAAUAUAUACCAACUAGCCCUACCAUAUCGACGAGUGCUGAAACAGAAUACACUACGAGUAGUACCACUACUCCUGCAUUGCCAACAACAACUGAAGCUGUACAAAUCAGUUGUACAUGUCCAGAAAUCUAUGAUCCAGUGUGUGCGUCCAACGGAAAAUCUUUUUUUAACGUGUGCCAGCUGAAUUGUGAAAUAUCCGCUGGAGCGACGCUGUCUGUAGUGUAUGUAGGAAAAUGCGUGCCGUUUUGAUUUCAAAAAAAUAAUUGGAUGUAUUUUUUUUAAUACGGAUAUGUUACUUCCAUAGAUUAACAAAAAGAAAAAAAAAUCAGCUCAUUUAACACAAAGAAAAAUAAAACAUUUUUAUGCUAAUAACUCUAGAUGUGAUUACAGGCGCCAUUUUGAAUAGUUUCAAAUGGCCGAGUUAUUAAUAAAAUACAUUUUUAAGUACCUUUCAACUGAAUAAACAGAUCUUAAUUGGAUUUACAAACA
Molecule: long non-coding RNA, 747 nt
Organism: Plodia interpunctella (Indianmeal moth)
Lineage: Eukaryota; Metazoa; Arthropoda; Insecta; Lepidoptera; Pyralidae
Exons: 3
Source: RefSeq, a predicted model, not a curated record